UAGUAACUCACAUGGACAACCCACUU
This 26-nucleotide non-coding RNA is filed under the name Mus musculus (house mouse). Lineage: Eukaryota; Metazoa; Chordata; Mammalia; Rodentia; Muridae. The record is from RNAcentral.